Molecule: long non-coding RNA, 214 nt
Filed under: Gossypium raimondii (Peruvian cotton)
Lineage: Eukaryota; Viridiplantae; Streptophyta; Magnoliopsida; Malvales; Malvaceae
Description: long non-coding RNA (GRAI_LNC010760)
Source: RNAcentral
UGGAGGUCUUGUGUUCAAAUCCCUAUGUAAGCAAGGGUAUUUUUUUUUUUGCUCAGAUUUUGGGAUAGAGUUGUGCAAUAAGGGGAUUCUGAGUAGUGGGAAUUAGGGGAAAAGAUUAAGGGAUUUUAGAGGUUAUCAGGAUUUUAUUUUCUUUUUUUUCCAUAACCGCAUUUUGACUCUCUUUUCCAAAAAGAAAUCCUGCCAUCUAUUCUUC